GACGAACGCUGGCGGCGUGCUUAACACAUGCAAGUCGAGCGAUGAAAUUCCUUCGGGAAUGGAUUAGCGGCGGACGGGUGAGUAACACGUGGGUAACCUGCCUCAUAGAGGGGAAUAGCCUUCCGAAAGGAAGAUUAAUACCGCAUAAGAUUGUAGUACCACAUGGUACAGCAAUUAAAGGAGUAAUCCGCUAUGAGAUGGACCCGCGUCGCAUUAGCUAGUUGGUGAGGUAACGGCUCACCAAGGCGACGAUGCGUAGCCGACCUGAGAGGGUGAUCGGCCACAUUGGGAUUGAGACACGGCCCAGACUCCUACGGGAGGCAGCAGUGGGGAAUAUUGCACAAUGGGGGAAACCCUGAUGCAGCAACGCCGCGUGAGUGAUGACGGUCUUCGGAUUGUAAAACUCUGUCUUCAGGGACGAUAAUGACGGUACCUGAGGAGGAAGCCACGGCUAACUACGUGCCAGCCGCCGCAGUAA
RNAcentral lists this ribosomal RNA (478 nucleotides) under uncultured bacterium. RNAcentral's name for it is "partial 16S ribosomal RNA". It matches the Rfam family "Bacterial small subunit ribosomal RNA", at positions 28 to 523 of the family's 1533-position model. The record is from RNAcentral.